RNAcentral lists this ribosomal RNA (434 nucleotides) under uncultured bacterium. RNAcentral describes it as "partial 16S ribosomal RNA". It matches the Rfam family "Bacterial small subunit ribosomal RNA", at positions 29 to 507 of the family's 1533-position model. The record is from RNAcentral.
AGCGAACGCUGGCGGCAGGCCUAACACAUGCAAGUCGAACGAACCGUUCGGGGUUAGUGGCGGACGGGUGAGUAACACGUGGGAACGUGCCUUUAGGUUCGGAAUAACUCAGGGAAACUUGUGCUAAUACCGAAUGUGCCCUUCGGGGGAAAGAUUUAUCGCCUUUAGAGCGGCCCGCGUCUGAUUAGCUAGUUGGGUGAGGUAAUGGCUCACCCAGGCUACGGGCAGUAGCUGGUCUGAGAGGAGGAUCCGCCACAUUGGGGCUGAGACACGGCCCAAACCCCUACGGGAGGGAGGAGUGGGGUACCUUGCGCAAUGGGCGAAAGCCUGACGCAGCCAUGCCGCGGGAAUGAUGAAGGUCUUAGGAUUGUAAAAUUCUUUCACCGGGGACGAUAAUGACGGUACCCGGAGAAGAAGCCCCGGCUAACUUCGUG